This is a long non-coding RNA of Hibiscus syriacus, 2386 nucleotides long. RefSeq lists it as uncharacterized. The transcript is spliced from 4 exons. NCBI's taxonomy places the organism in Eukaryota, Viridiplantae, Streptophyta, Magnoliopsida, Malvales, Malvaceae. The record is from RefSeq and is a predicted model, not a curated record.
UCUGCUUCCUUCUCUAUCUCUUAAGCUUCCCCUCUCAUUUCCAUGGCGUUUUGCUGAUUUGAGCCCAAAAAACAUAGAUAAGAAAAAAGUUCCUGCAUCAAAGGAAAAAAAAAAAGAUUCACCCGAUACCCAUUUACAUGAAAUAAUCCUUCACCGGAAGAACAAGAAGGAGAAGAAAGAAGAAGAAGAAAGUUUCACUCCCUCUUUAGAUCUAAACGAUAUCAAAUCUUACUUCACUCCCAAACAUUUUUCAAGGGCCAACAUCACUUUUUUCCGUUUUGAUGACUGAUGGUUGUGAUCAAUGAAGAUCUUAUCUGAUUUGAGGUUAUAGUGUUGUGGGGUUUUUUUUAUUUGAAUCCAGUAGUUAUUCACAGAAGUAAAUCAGUUCGAUUUUAGUUUCCAUCUUAGUUGUAUCUGGGCAUGAUUUUGGACUCAAGAGUUGUUACCUUUAUUAUGUACUUCAGUGAUUCGUAACAAGGAUUUAGGGGAUUUUAGAAGGACUUGGUUGCUUUUUGUUUGUUGGGUUGAAUAUAUGGCUUUUGAUUAUCAAAAUUGGAAAAAGAGAGUUAUGGAGACACUUGUUGUGGUGGCACACCAUAGGAAUCAGUACUGUAGCAGGGUGAAGCCACACGAUCCUGCCAGAUUUGGGUCAUCACCACCGUCUAGAAAUUUCAGAGGGGUCAAUUGCAGGAGUUUUCAAUCCGGAGCAGGAUUGCUCCCAACCCCAUUUAAGUAUAAUUCUACUCCUUCAACCAAACAGCAUCUCCUUUUGCAUCUCCUUUUGCUGAUGGAAGACACUCAAAACCCACCUGGAAAAGCUCUCCUAUUCCUAUCAACAGCAGUAGGACCCCUAGAAAUGGUAAGCCUUUUACCGAUGAGAUUUCAGGGGAAGGUUUUCUUUAUCCUGAGCUUUGGGCUGGACCAGCUUAUUCCAAUUCGCCGCCUCCGAGUUCUUUGCCGAUACCCACAUUCUCACUUUGGGUGAAGAGGACCAUGUCGCCUGAUUUGCGUGCUGCUGACCCUGUUGUAGAUGUUCACCAAACUGCUAAGUCUGCACCUGCAUCUCCUACCAGGGAGCCUAGCCCUUCUGUAGCUGAACUUUUUCUUAGUGCUGACUCUGCGACUGCGACUAAGGCUUUACGCCGCAUUCUCAACCUUGACAAUACUGAAGAGUGAAAAGAGUGGAGUUCUUCAGCUCCUGUAAAUAAGUUCAUGUGCAAAAUUUGAAGUUUGUUUUUUAGAUUGUAUAGAGAUUGAAUAAGACCGUUGGUAGCAUGGGUCAGUAUGUGUUGGUUUAACUUUCUUUGGGUGGUAAUAUGAGAGAGAUGGUAGGUUGACAAUCUCCAGGCUUUCCUUUAUGAGAUGGUUUAGGAGAACUUCUGAUUGACUUAAGGCACAAGCUAUGUGAUCUGUGGCUGUUGUAAGCUUGGAUGGAAGAUGAUUUGAGCUAUUAGGAAGCGAAGGGGAGGUUUCGUUAGAACCAAACAUUGUCUUCUAUCUUUGGAUUGACAUGAAAUCAAACUGAUGAUUUGGUAGUGGAUGACUUUACAAUAUCGAGUCCUUGGUGAUUAAUGUCUGUUUAGUUGUUGUCCUUAAGCUAAUUUCUGAUACAGUGUAUAGACUCUAGUCUGUAGAUCCCCUACUAAAUUGCUUCCCAAAUUCCUUGGGUCUUUUUUCUUAGUGUCCUUUGUUUCUCUUUUUCAACCUUAGACUAAAUUAGCCUGCCUAUAUGACCUUUCUUUUUUCUUUCAACUCCUUUCCUUUCUCCAGCAUUGCCUCAAUUGGCUGCUUAACAAUCAAAUAUCCUCAAUAUAGUCUUACUUGGUAUUUCUCUCUGUUUUCCCUUUCUCGCCACCUUUUUCUGUUUUUUUUUGUAAAGAAAAAGGCGGCAAGGAAAAGUAAAGUGGUUAUCUGUUUCAUCUGAAACUUGUUAGGUUAAUCAGUUCCAUGCUGAGUUGAAAGUGUCGUUCGUGUCUUGUUCAUCCUGGUGUCUAAUGCCCACUGUGAUAGUUGUUUCUUAGAGCCAUCUCUCAUGGAGAUUGUUGAUUGUUCCAAGCUGCUUGCAAGGUAGCGGUCACUGUGGUAAGUCGUUUUCAUGAGGCUUUUGUUAAAGUAGAUGUGCUGAUGUUAGAUGUCUUUAAUGCAAAGCCUUUAGGACCCAUAUCUGUAGCCAGCAAUCGUCUUGGAAAUGUUUGUUUUCGAGUUCUUAAAACGGGAGUCUUGUGUUGUUCUUAAAGUGUCAAGUUAAUAUUCAAACUUCAAAGUGCAGUAUGUUCUUGUUAGCUGUGUUUUGUCACUUAUAUAUUUGUGUUAUGAUGUUAGAGUAUAUCGGAAUAUGAAUCUAUUGGAAUGUUAUCAUACUGGGCAAAGUAGUUUGUCUUUGAAA